This 255-nucleotide ribosomal RNA is filed under the name uncultured bacterium. RNAcentral describes it as "partial 16S ribosomal RNA". It matches the Rfam family "Bacterial small subunit ribosomal RNA", at positions 524 to 776 of the family's 1533-position model. The record is from RNAcentral.
UACGUAGGGUGCAAGCGUUGUCCGGAAUUAUUGGGCGUAAAGAGCUCGUAGGCGGUUUGUUGCGUCGGCUGUGAAAUCCCGAGGCUCAACCUCGGGUCUGCAGUCGAUACGAGCAAACUAGAGUGUUGCAGGGGAGACUGGAAUUCCUGGUGUAGCGGUGAAAUGCGCAGAUAUCAGGAGGAACACCGGUGGCGAAGGCGGGUCUCUGGGCCGUAACUGACGCUGGAGGAGCGAAAGCGUGGGGAGCGAAACAGG